GACGAACCGUGCGAACGUUGUUCGGAUUCACUGGGCUUAAAGGGCGCGUAGGCGGGUUACCAAGUCCGGGGUGAAAGCCCCCAGCUCAACUGGGGAAGUGCCUCGGAUACUGGUGACCUCGAGGAAGGUAGGGGCAUGCGGAACUGUAGGUGGAGCGGUGAAAUGCGUUGAUAUCUACAGGAACGCCGGUGGCGAAAGCGGCGUGCUGGACCUUUUCUGACGCUGAGGCGCGAAAGCUAGGGGAGCAAACGGG
This 253-nucleotide ribosomal RNA is filed under the name uncultured bacterium. RNAcentral's name for it is "partial 16S ribosomal RNA". It matches the Rfam family "Bacterial small subunit ribosomal RNA", at positions 524 to 776 of the family's 1533-position model. The record is from RNAcentral.